GGGCUCACUUCGGCAGCACAUAGACUAAAAUUGGAAUGAUGCAGAGAUUAGCAUGGUCCCUGCUGAAGGAUGGCAUGCCAAUCAGUAUAUAAAAACGAAGAGAAGUU
Suricata suricatta (meerkat) is the source of this 107-nucleotide small nuclear RNA. NCBI's taxonomy places the organism in Eukaryota, Metazoa, Chordata, Mammalia, Carnivora, Herpestidae. The record is from Ensembl.